AAGACAGCUGAAUGAUAGUCGGGCUGAAGACUCUACUUGACUAGCUGAGAGGAGGUGCAUGGCCGUCGUCAGUUCGUACUGUGAAGCAUCCUGUUAAGUCAGGCAACGAGCGAGACCCACGCCAACAGUUGCCAGCUCGUCCUCCGGGAUGGUGGGGACACUGUUGGGACCGCCUCUGCUAAGAGAGGAAGGAAUGGGCAACGGUAGGUCAGCAUGCCCCGAAUUAUCCGGGCUACACGCGGGCUACAAUGGUCAGGACAAUGGGCAUCAACACCGAAAGGUGAAGGCAAUCUCUUAAACCUGUCCUUAGUUCGGAUUGUGGGCUGCAACUCGCCCACAUGAAGCUGGAAUCUGUAGUAAUCGCGUCUCAAAAUGGCGCGGUGAAUAUGUCCCUGCCCCUU
RNAcentral lists this ribosomal RNA (401 nucleotides) under uncultured Methanolinea sp. Its description in RNAcentral is "bacterial SSU rRNA". It matches the Rfam family "Archaeal small subunit ribosomal RNA", at positions 936 to 1338 of the family's 1478-position model. Lineage: Archaea; Methanobacteriati; Methanobacteriota; Methanomicrobia; Methanomicrobiales; Methanoregulaceae. The record is from RNAcentral.